This 268-nucleotide ribosomal RNA is filed under the name uncultured bacterium. RNAcentral describes it as "partial 16S ribosomal RNA". It matches the Rfam family "Bacterial small subunit ribosomal RNA", at positions 29 to 297 of the family's 1533-position model. The record is from RNAcentral.
ACGAACGCUGGCGGCGUGCUUAACACAUGCAAGUCGAGCGGUAAGGCCCUUUCGGGGGUACGACGAGCGGCGAACGGGUGAGUAACACGUGGGUGACCUGCCCUUAGCUCUGGGAUAAGCCUGGGAAACGUGGGUCUAAUACCGGAUAUGACUCCAUGACGCAUGUUGUGGGGUGGAAAGCCUUGUGCGGCUAGGAUGGGCCCGCGGCCUAUCAGCUUGUUGGUGGGGUGAUGGCCUACCAAGGCGACGACGGGUAGCCGGCCUGAGA